GAUGAACGCUGGCGGCGUGCCUAAUACAUGCAAGUCGAGCGAACAGACGAUGAGCUUGCUCCUCUGACGUUAGCGGCGGACGUGUGUGUAACACGUGUAUACUCUACCUAUAAUACGGGGAUAACUUCGGGACUCCGGAGCUUAUAGCGUAUAAUAUAUUGAAGCGCAUGGUUCGAUGGUGAAAUUCGGUUUUUCUGUCACUUAUAGAUGGAUCCGCGCCGCAUUGGCUAGUUGGUAAGUUAACAGGUUACCAAGGCGACGAUGCGUAGGCGAACUGUGAGGGUGAUCGGCGGCACGGGAAGUGAGCCACGGUCCAGAGGCCUACGGGAGGCAGCAGUAGGGAAUCGUACGCAGUGGGCGAGAGCAUGACAGAGCAGCCCCGAGUGAGUGACGAAGGUCUUCGGAUCGUAAAACCCUGUAAUGAGGGAAGAACCAAUGUGGAAGGAACCAUGCCCGUAUUGACGGUAACUAAUAAAAAAGCAACGGCUAACUACGUG
This 497-nucleotide ribosomal RNA is filed under the name uncultured bacterium. Its description in RNAcentral is "partial 16S ribosomal RNA". It matches the Rfam family "Bacterial small subunit ribosomal RNA", at positions 28 to 507 of the family's 1533-position model. The record is from RNAcentral.